RNAcentral lists this ribosomal RNA (431 nucleotides) under Campylobacter gracilis. Its description in RNAcentral is "bacterial SSU rRNA". It matches the Rfam family "Bacterial small subunit ribosomal RNA", at positions 29 to 457 of the family's 1533-position model. Lineage: Bacteria; Pseudomonadati; Campylobacterota; Epsilonproteobacteria; Campylobacterales; Campylobacteraceae. The record is from RNAcentral.
AGUGAACGCUGGCGGCGUGCCUAAUACAUGCAAGUCGAACGGAAUUUAAGAGAGCUUGCUCUUUUAAAUUUAGUGGCGCACGGGUGAGUAAUAUAUAGCUAAUCUGCCCCUCGCUGGAGGACAACAGUUAGAAAUGACUGCUAAUACUCCAUACUCCUUUUUACCAUAAGAUAAAUCGGGAAAGAAUUUCGGCAAGGGAUGAGACUAUAUCGUAUCAGCUAGUCGGUGGGGUAACGGCCUACCGAGGCUAUGACGCGUAACUGGUCUGAGAGGAUGAUCAGUCACAUUGGAACUGAGACACGGUCCAAACUCCUACGGGAGGCAGCAGUAGGGAAUAUUGCGCAAUGGGGGAAACCCUGACGCAGCAACGCCGCGUGGAGGAUGACACUUUUCGGAGCGUAAACUCCUUUUGUUAGGGAAGAAUAAGGACG